GCUUACAUUAUGAAUCCAGCCUUUUCUUGCUAUGGGGAGACAGGAAGUGGUGGUUGGCAUAUAAUUAGACUAGCUUUGACCUUCAAGGCCAGAAUGUGAGAAAAUGGAGAGAAUAUAAGAACAUUUAUGCAGGAAACUGGGAGUCAGGAUCAAGGGGAGGAAAAGGUGUUGAAGUACCAAUUUGUACUUCCAUAGCUGGUUUCUUAUCAAUAAACUGAUAUGAAUUCUGCUAUGUCCUUCUAAUGUUUCAGCCUGGGCCUAGAAAGGUGGUGUUGACACUCGAGCUCCUGGGAGGGUGACUUAUUUCAGUGGAAAUUCGGCUCUGUAGUUCAGUUCUGCCCUUGGAAGCAACCAAAAUCGCAGUCUGCUUCAUUUGCAGUUGUCAUUUACUGCCUAGUUGUAUCCACCUGUUUUUCUGCCUCUGCUGUGGGAACAAGUCAUAUCUACCCUUUUAAACAGGGAAUCAAGGAGAAAGAUGAACACAGGAAGGCAGGAAAAAUCUGUCCAGAUGACGAUGGAGGAGGCCCCGACCACCAGCACCCUAGGGCGCAGUUCAGCACCAAAGAUUAAGCAGCCGCACAAAAAGAAGCGUGUUCAAAGACGGCAUCGGAGACCCCACCGCCCCCAACGGCAGCAGCCAGCCAAAAGCCUUGCCAAGCUAAAAGUGAGAGGCAAGAGCUGCUCAAUGCCGAAUUUGGUUUAUAAAAGAAUGACAUCUGAAAGCCAAGAGAGCAAACUGAGAUCUUGCUACCGUAACUGGAAGGAACCCUUGGUCAAAUUCCCACCAGAAUCCAGAUCUGGCUGCAUCCUGGCAACGGCAGUCAAUGAGCAGGGGCUGCCAUAUAUGUCGGGGAUGAAACUUGCAGAGAGACAUUUGUCUAGCACAGAGGGACACCCCAGAAGCCCUGGGAAUUUUUGCUGUGCAAGAGAAAAUCCAAGGAGCAGCUGUUUACCAAUGGAGCCGGGAAAGCGUGAAGCAACAGCUACGUGCCAUCUAUGUGGGGAAUGCAUGCCACAAGGUGUCUACGGUGACCCAACCAUCCAUCCAGCUUCCUUCCUGGGAAUCAAGCAACGCCCAAAGCUACAAUGGCAGGUCAGCUGAUUGAGGGGAGCUGCUGGGGCAUGAGGGCAAAAACAGGUGAAAGAUCAUGUUACCAGCACCCAGAAUCCAUAGUGUUAACAGCAGGUAAUCUCCUGCACAGAUGGUGCUAAGGAAUAACACAAAAGGUAUCUUUUCUAUGUCCCUAACCAGUUCAAAACAAUACCUGUGCCUGGACCAAAUGGCACAGAGUAGCAAAUGGUUUUCCAAAGUAGAAGAGACUCCAGCGGCUUUCCACUUUUACGAAAAGUAAGAACAAGGCAUUGGGGAUGUUUAAUGUAUAUGUCCUUAUUUUGUUGAUGUUUGUAAAAAAACAAACAUGUGAUGGCAGGAAGCCUAUAAUCUGGGCUACCAGUUCCAGAAAGAAAAAGACAAAUCAUGUUUCUCUGAAAGAUGAUGUUCUGACAACACCACGGUUUAGGGUGCAGAUUCACUGUGAGUCAGGUAAAAAAAGGAUUGCUAAUAGGUAACAGCUAUUUCUCUCUCCCAUCCUCCCUCUGCCCUUUAUUUCUACUUGCCUUUGUACCUAGGGACACCCCAGAUGAUGUCAAAUGCCCAGUUGGUAUUGAAUUUCGAAGAAGCAAGUACCCAGACACCCUACCAGACGGCCUUACAAACCUCACCCACAAAAUCAACAACCUGGUGCUUGUUAACAAUAACGAUGAUGCACUCUCUGAAAAAGAUUUCCCCGGCUCACCAGCAAAUUCAUGCACCACCCAGAUGCAGUCUACAGAGCUCUUCCAGGCAACAUGCAGGAGUUCUUCAUGGACAAACGGCCAUGAAGGAUGGCAUGGGGAACAGAGCCACAAGCCACAGGUAUUUUGGAACACGCUCUUAGCAUCGCCCACUUGUGCCAGAAGACAUCUGCGGCCAAGGCCUUUGUCAGCAAAGGAGGAAUGUGAGAAAGAUUCAGCUCAGAGACCCAGCUGUGCAGAGGACCAAGAUGGGCAGGCAUUCAAGAAAGAUGCCGAGGCUCAAAACAUACUGGAUCUCAGCAGAAAACCCACCAUCGUCCACAUCCGAAGUGCCAUUGUUAUCCCAGCCAUUACUCUGUGCUCAUCUAGUGAAAGUAUCGACUCAGAGACGCCCUCUGUCACUCCCUCCACCACCAACCAGUUUCUAUCAGAGCCCACGGGGCCUACACCCCACAGCGCACCUGGUUUUCAUCCUGUAUAGGUAGACGAAAAGCUAGCUGGGUUUCUUGCACAUCUUUCCCAGAGUGAAAAGGGAUGCACUCUCCUCUGAAAGCACGAAGAGCUGAGCGACAAGGCAUCCUGUCUGGAUGUUUGAUAGGGCUUGGACCCAGGAAUCCAGCCUUUGUUAUUGGGUCUAGUGGAACAAAGAAGAGGCAACAUUCUGGAACGCUCUUUUAACCUUGAGAGGGGCUGGGCUCCUGAAAACUCUUGUCAAGAGGUUUUAUUUCUGAAAAACUGUUUCCAAGAUGCUUUUAGAAUUGACUUGGCUCCUUGUAUUCACCCGCUGUGUUUGAACUGUAAUAAAAAAUUUCCAAGAGGUGGCA
This is a long non-coding RNA of Salvator merianae (Argentine black and white tegu), 2618 nucleotides long. The record is from Ensembl. NCBI's taxonomy places the organism in Eukaryota, Metazoa, Chordata, Lepidosauria, Squamata, Teiidae.